GACGAACGCUGGCGGCGUGCCUAAUACAUGCAAGUAGAACGCACAGUUUAUACCGUAGCUUGCUACACCAUAGACUGUGAGUUGCGAACGGGUGAGUAACGCGUAGGUAACCUGCCUGGUAGCGGGGGAUAACUAUUGGAAACGAUAGCUAAUACCGCAUAAUAUUGAUUAUUGCAUGAUAAUUGAUUGAAAGAUGCUAUUGCAUCACUACCAGAUGGACCUGCGUUGUAUUAGCUAGUAGGUGAGGUAACGGCUCACCUAGGCGACGAUACAUAGCCGACCUGAGAGGGUGAUCGGCCACACUGGGACGGAGACACGGCCCAGACGCCUACGGGAGGCAGCAGUAGGGAAUCUUCGGCAAUGGACGAAAGUCUGACCGAGCAACGCCGCGUGAGUGAAGAAGGGUGUCGGAUCGUAAAGCUCUGUUGUAAGAGAAGAACGGGUGUGAGAGUGGAAAGUUCACACUGUGACGGUAUCUUACCAGAAAGGGACGGCUAACUACGUG
This 505-nucleotide ribosomal RNA is filed under the name uncultured bacterium. RNAcentral's name for it is "partial 16S ribosomal RNA". It matches the Rfam family "Bacterial small subunit ribosomal RNA", at positions 28 to 507 of the family's 1533-position model. The record is from RNAcentral.